GACGAACGCUGGCGGCGUGCUUAACACAUGCAAGUCGAACGGAAAGGCCCUGCUUUUGUGGGGUGCUCGAGUGGCGAACGGGUGAGUAACACGUGAGUAACCUGCCCUUGACUUUCGGAUAACUUCAGGAAACAGGGGCUAAUACCGGAUAGGAGCUCCUGCUGCAUGGUGGGGGUUGGAAAGUUUCGGCGGUUGGGGAUGGACUCGCGGCUUAUCAGCUUGUUGGUGGGGUAGUGGCUUACCAAGGCUUUGACGGGUAGCCGGCCUGAGAGGGUGACCGGCCACAUUGGGACUGAGAUACGGCCCAGACUCCUACGGGAGGCAGCGGUGGGGAGUAUUGCACAAUGGGCGGAAGCCUGAUGCAGCAACGCCGCGUGCGGGAUGACGGCCUGCGGGUUGUAAACCGCUUUCGCCUGUGACGAAGCGUGAGUGACGGUAAUGGGUAAAGAAGCACCGGCUAACUACGUG
RNAcentral lists this ribosomal RNA (468 nucleotides) under uncultured bacterium. RNAcentral describes it as "partial 16S ribosomal RNA". It matches the Rfam family "Bacterial small subunit ribosomal RNA", at positions 28 to 507 of the family's 1533-position model. The record is from RNAcentral.